RNAcentral lists this long non-coding RNA (525 nucleotides) under Equus asinus (donkey). RNAcentral describes it as "lncRNA (ENSEASG00005027885.1, ENSEASG00020002708.1)". The record is from RNAcentral. Lineage: Eukaryota; Metazoa; Chordata; Mammalia; Perissodactyla; Equidae.
CUCAGGGUUAAUCUUCCUCAAAAAAAAAAGAAAAAAAAUAUUGAAUUGGGUUCCUGUCGCUCUCAAAGAGUCCUAAGUUAAGUGAUGCCAUCCUGUAAUGAUAAUCCCAUUGCUUUUGCCUAUUUGCCUAUUUUGGUCACGAGCAUAAUGACUGUGGCUCCCGUUCAAGUCUGAGUUAGGCCCUUUUCCAUAACAAUCUCCAAAGGAAUCCCUUUUAAAUGAGAGUCACAAAAGGAUUAGUUGAAAAGAACCAAAGUAAGUCUAAAAAUUGAAUUUAUCUAAUUGACCACAUAGUCUCUCUCUUUUUAUAUUUAGCAGAGUACUCCUGAUUUCACCACUUCCUGGCUUUAUGACUUUGGAGUAAAAGAAUGUACUGGAGAGUCAAGAUUUUGAAAAAUCAGUAAUUUUUACUGCUUCGUCAAAGAUCUUCCUAAGUAACGGUGGUGAAGAAUGCAACUGUAUUCUGCCCCCCGGUACACAGUUGCAUAUUCUUCGUUGUGGGUGCCUCCAGCUGUGGCACCUGGG